This 263-nucleotide ribosomal RNA is filed under the name uncultured bacterium. RNAcentral's name for it is "partial small subunit ribosomal RNA". It matches the Rfam family "Bacterial small subunit ribosomal RNA", at positions 26 to 282 of the family's 1533-position model. The record is from RNAcentral.
AGAAUCAACGCUGGCGGCGUGCCUCAGACAUGCAAGUCGAACGCGAAAGUCCCCUUCGGGGGAUGAUUAGAGUGGCGCACGGGUGAGUAACACGUAGGUAAUCUACCUUCGAGUGGGGAAUAGCUCAGGGAAACUUGAGCUAAUACCGCAUAAUGCAGCGGCACCACAUGGUGACAGUUGUUAAAGCAUUUAUGCGACUUGAAGAGGAGCCUGCGGCAGAUUAGCUAGUUGGUAAAGGUAAUGGCUUACCAAGGCUACGAUCU